Molecule: ribosomal RNA, 339 nt
Filed under: Triticum aestivum (bread wheat)
Lineage: Eukaryota; Viridiplantae; Streptophyta; Magnoliopsida; Poales; Poaceae
Description: partial small subunit ribosomal RNA
Source: RNAcentral
AUGAGCAACCUCAUUUGCUUCCCUAUUACAAUGUUCGAACCUAGUAAUGGAAAAACCACAAGCCAAAAAAUAGCAAUCGUCAAACACUGCCACCGCUGUACUUGCCGUCCUUCCGUCCUUCCUCCGUUAUUCAUGGUUUCAAUGACCUCCAAAUUAUCUGAAUUAAUAACGAGGCGAUUGCAUCCUGCCCUUUUAGCAAUUGAUAGUCCAUACCUAAGCGCCAAAGGUUCAGCCAUUAGGACAUCCGUGCACCAAUCAAUUCUUCAGUUCCCCUCUGCAAUAAAUUUUUCUUUAUCAUCCCUCAACACAGUACCCGCCGUGCCCCUAAGCAGGUCAUGA